AUAUAACAUCAAUUGCGUACUAUGCAGCAAGAGUUUGUUCUGAGCAACUCCUUGAAUUUCAGGCACACACUAAUUGCAGUACAUUGUGUGGCGUGGCUACCUGUUAUGCCACUGCAGCUUCGGAGGUGUCAUCUUGUUCAGUAGAUGAUUUCGAACAGACUAUCACAGACAAUGCAGUGGCUUGGCAAUCUGCAACCUCAGAAACACAGACGGAAAUGUGUUGUCCAUCAGUUGGUGUGGUUUUCAAUAUGGAGAUGACAGUUUACGCAAUGGCUCUUGUAACUGGUGUCUUCUUGAAACUAUUUUCUAUGACGUGAAAUA
Molecule: long non-coding RNA, 321 nt
Organism: Mytilus californianus (California mussel)
Lineage: Eukaryota; Metazoa; Mollusca; Bivalvia; Mytilida; Mytilidae
Exons: 3
Source: RefSeq, a predicted model, not a curated record